UACAGGGGGGGCAAGCGUUGUUCGGAAUUACUGGGCGUAAAGGGCUCGUAGGCGGCCAACUAAGUCAGACGUGAAAUCCCUCAGCUUAACUGGGGAACUGCGUCUGAUACUGGAUGGCUUGGAUUUGGGAGAGGAAUGCGGAAUUCCAGGUGUAGCGGUGAAAUGCGUAGAUAUCUGGAGGAACACCGGUGGCGAAGGCGGCAUUCUGGACCAAUAUUGACGCUGAGGAGCGAAAGCCAGGGGAGCAAACGGG
Molecule: ribosomal RNA, 253 nt
Filed under: uncultured bacterium
Lineage: Bacteria
Description: partial 16S ribosomal RNA
Rfam family: Bacterial small subunit ribosomal RNA
Source: RNAcentral